This 548-nucleotide ribosomal RNA is filed under the name Nassarius luridus. RNAcentral's name for it is "partial 12S ribosomal RNA". Lineage: Eukaryota; Metazoa; Mollusca; Gastropoda; Neogastropoda; Nassariidae. The record is from RNAcentral.
CGCGGUUAUACCAAGUGAUUAAGUUAUAUUUCUAGGUAAAAAGACAGUUAGGUUUAAAAUAAUAAUUUGUUUAUUAAACAUCUAUAAAAAAGUAAAAUUUGUAUAUAGAUAGCUAAUCUAAAAGUAACUAUGUACACUGAAGCUGUGAUAAUCUUGAGGGAAACUGGGAUUAGAUACCCCAUUAUUCUUGAUUGUAAACAUAAUUAAAUUUACCAGAGUACUAUGAAUAGUUAAAAAUUUAAAACUCAAAGGGCUUGGCGGUGUUUUAGACCUAUCAGGGGAACCUGUCUCGUAAUCGACAAUCCACGCAAUAUCUAACCCUAUUUUGUAAUCAGUUUGUAUACCGUCGUCGUCAGGUAACUUUUAAAAAUACAGAAGUUAGCAAUUAAAACUUAUUAGUUAAAACGUCAGAUCAAGGUGCAGCCUAUAGUAGGGAGAGGAUGGGUUACAAUUAUAAAAAUUAUAAUCACGGAGAUUUAAAUGAAACUUAUUUUGAAGGAGGACUUGAAAGUAAACUAAAAUACAUAAAUAGUUUGAAUGAGGCUCUG